This 457-nucleotide ribosomal RNA is filed under the name uncultured bacterium. RNAcentral's name for it is "bacterial SSU rRNA". It matches the Rfam family "Bacterial small subunit ribosomal RNA", at positions 29 to 524 of the family's 1533-position model. The record is from RNAcentral.
AGUGAACGUUGGCGGCGUGGAUUAGGCAUGCAAGUCGAGCGAUCGUAGCAAUACGGGAGCGGCAAACGGGGUAGGAAUACAUCGGAACGUACCUUUUGGUUGAGAAUAGCGUUGGGAAACUGACGGUAAUACUCAAUAAAGUCGAGAGACCAAAGGUUUACUGCCGGAAGAGCGGCCGAUGCGAUAUUAGGUAGUUGGUGGGGUAAUGGCCUACCAAGCCUGAGAUGUCUAGGGGUGUGAGAGCAUGGCCCCACCACUGGGACUGAGAUACUGCCCAGACACCUACGGGUGGCUGCAGUCGAGGAUCUUCGUCAAUGGGCGAAAGCCUGAACGAGCGACGCCGCGUGCGGGAUGAAGGCCCUUGGGUUGUAAACCGCUGUCAGGGGGGAUGAAACCGUAAGGUUGACAGAGCCCCAGAGGAAGCACGGGCUAAGUUCGUGCCAGCAGCCGCGGUAAU